GGGGGGGGGGGGGGGGGGGGGGGGGGGGGGGGGGGGGGGGGGAGGGACGGGGGGCUGGCGGCUCGGAGGUUGGCGGGGGCCGGGUGAGGCACACGUGGAUCACCUACCUUUAAGCCUGGGAUGACUUCGGGCAACCGGAGCUAGGACCGGCUAAUAUUUUGAACCGCAUGGGUCAAAAGUGAACGCGGCUCUUGCCGACACUUAUAGAUGGAUCCGCGCUGCAUUAGCUAGUUGGUAAGGUAACGGCGUACCAAGGCAACGAUGCAUAGCCGACCUGAGAGGGUGAUCGGCCACACUGGAACUGAGACACGGUCCAGACUCCUACGGGAGGCAGCAGUAGGGAAUCUUCCGCAAUGGGCGAAAGCCUGACGGAGCAACGCCGCGUGAGUGAUGAAGGUCUUCGGAUCGUAAAACUCUGUUAUUAGGGAAGAACAUAUGUGUAAGUAACUGUGCACAUCUUGACGGUACCUAAUCAGAAAGCCACGGCUAACUACGUG
This 497-nucleotide ribosomal RNA is filed under the name uncultured bacterium. RNAcentral's name for it is "partial 16S ribosomal RNA". It matches the Rfam family "Bacterial small subunit ribosomal RNA", at positions 38 to 507 of the family's 1533-position model. The record is from RNAcentral.